Molecule: ribosomal RNA, 406 nt
Filed under: uncultured bacterium
Lineage: Bacteria
Description: partial 16S ribosomal RNA
Rfam family: Bacterial small subunit ribosomal RNA
Source: RNAcentral
AUUGAACGCUGGCGGCAGGCCUAACACAUGCAAGUCGAACGAGUGGCGGACGGGUGAGUACUGUCUGGGACACUGCCUGAUGGAGGGGGAUAACUACUGGAAACGGUAGCUAAUACCGCAUACCAUCAGAUGUGCCCAGAUGGGAUUAGUGAGUGGGUGGGGUAACGGCUCAACAAGGCGACGCUCCCUAGCUGGUCUGAGAGGAUGACCAGACACACUGGAACUGAGACACGGUCCAGACGCCUACGGGAGGCAGCAGGUGGGAAUAUUGCACAAGGGGCGCAAGCCUGAUGCAGCCAUGCCGGGUGUAUGAAGAAGGCCUUCGGGUUGUAAAGUACUUUCAGCGGGGAGGCGUUACCCGCAGAAGAAGCACCGGCUAACUCCGUGCCAGCAGCCGCGGUAAUUC